GAUGAACGCUGGCGGCGUGCCUAAUACAUGCAAGUCGAGCGAACAGACGAGGAGCUUGCUCCUCUGACGUUAGCGGCGGACGGGUGAGUAACACGUGGAUAACCUACCUAUAAGACUGGGAUAACUUCGGGAAACCGGAGCUAAUACCGGAUAAUAUAUUGAACCGCAUGGUUCAAUAGUGAAAGACGGUUUUGCUGUCACUUAUAGAUGGAUCCGCGCCGCAUUAGCUAGUUGGUAAGGUAACGGCUUACCAAGGCAACGAUGCGUAGCCGACCUGAGAGGUGGACCGCCCAAACGGAAACGGGAAACGGGCCCGACUCCCAAGGGGAGGAAGCGGAGGGGAAUCUGCGGCAUGGGGGGAAGGCUGGCCGGAGAAAGGCGGGUGAGUGAAUAAGGUUCUCGGAUCGUUAAACUCUUUUUUUAGGGAAAAAAAAAAUGGGAAGGUACUAAUGAAGGUUUGAAGGGAACCAAACCAGAAAGCAACGGUAAACUCGUU
This 496-nucleotide ribosomal RNA is filed under the name uncultured bacterium. Its description in RNAcentral is "partial 16S ribosomal RNA". It matches the Rfam family "Bacterial small subunit ribosomal RNA", at positions 28 to 506 of the family's 1533-position model. The record is from RNAcentral.